RNAcentral lists this ribosomal RNA (433 nucleotides) under uncultured bacterium. RNAcentral describes it as "partial 16S ribosomal RNA". It matches the Rfam family "Bacterial small subunit ribosomal RNA", at positions 29 to 507 of the family's 1533-position model. The record is from RNAcentral.
AACGAACGCUGGCGGCAGGCCUAACACAUGCAAGUCGAGCGCACCCUUCGGGGUGAGCGGCGGACGGGUGAGUAACGCGUGGGAACGUGCCCUUCUCUGCGGAAUAUCCUCGGGAAACUGAGAGUAAUACCGCAUACGCCCUUUGGGGGAAAGAUUGAUCGGAGAAGGAUCGGCCCGCGUUGGAUUAGGUAGUUGGUGGGGUAAUGGCCCACCAAGCCGACGAUCCAUAGCUGGUUUGAGAGGAUGAUCAGCCACACUGGGACUGAGACACGGCCCAGACUCCUACGGGAGGCAGCAGUGGGGAAUCUUAGACAAUGGGGGCAACCCUGAUCUAGCCAUGCCGCGUGAGUGAUGAAGGCCUUAGGGUUGUAAAGCUCUUUCAGCUGGGAAGAUAAUGACGGUACCAGCAGAAGAAGCCCCGGCUAACUCCGUG